Long non-coding RNA from Asparagus officinalis (garden asparagus), 787 nucleotides. RefSeq lists it as uncharacterized. The record is from RefSeq and is a predicted model, not a curated record. NCBI's taxonomy places the organism in Eukaryota, Viridiplantae, Streptophyta, Magnoliopsida, Asparagales, Asparagaceae. The transcript is spliced from 3 exons.
CCCGACCCCAAUUCCUCUCUGAGCUCUUCUUUUCUCUCGAACCCCGACCCCAAUUCCUCCUCCUCCGCUUCAAUCCCGACCCCAAUUCCUCCUCCUCCGCCUCCUCCACCGCCGCCUCAACCGCCUCUCGAACCCAGAGCCUCCUCCGCCUCCUCCUCCGCCGCCUCAACCGCCUCUUGCCUCUCAGAAGAUCCUGUUCUAUGUUUGUCGCAACUGUGAUCAUCAGAUCUUAAUGUUGUUUGCCUUCGUUUCUUACCGAUCUGAAGAUCAGCGGGCUUAUGAAAGGUAUUUUUAUGAAGUUUCUCUUCUAUAAAUUUCAUUAUAUAAAAUCAAUAAUGAGUGACAGUUCAAAAGAUAUAAAUGUAGAAAAAUGAUAGGAAAGGAAAUUUAAAGGAUACACAAGCAUAUUUUCGAAUGUUUUCUCCAUGUAAUAUCACUCUUGUACAACAUAAGCUUGCUUUCGAAGGAUUCCUGUUGAUGUUCACAAAAUAUUAUCUAUAUCCAGAGUAUUUCUAUUGUGGCAUUUUAAGGCGAGUUGUGAAGAUUAUUCAUAAUACAGGUGAUGUAUUCUUUGAGUUCUUUGCGCUUGGCAUAGUAAAAAAAAUACAUGAUUGGUAAUUUUAAUGCUAUCUUGUUCAAUAUGUUCAUGCUAUUCCUGAAUGGGUUAUAUACAUGCCUGUGCAUAUUUUGAUAAUUCAAAAAGUUUGAAAAAACCCCCUAAAUUUUACAAAAAGUCCCCAAUAGUUUACAAAAUCCCCCCUAAAAGUUUACAAAAAACACCCUAAAA